Molecule: ribosomal RNA, 443 nt
Filed under: uncultured bacterium
Lineage: Bacteria
Description: partial 16S ribosomal RNA
Rfam family: Bacterial small subunit ribosomal RNA
Source: RNAcentral
CCUACGGGAGGCAGCAGUGGGGAAUAUUGGGCAAUGGAGGCAACUCUGACCCAGCAACGCCGCGUGAAUGAUGAAGGUCUUCGGAUUGUAAAGUUCUGUGAUGGGGGAUGAACACAAUGACGGUACCCCAAUAGCAAGCCACGGCUAACUACGUGCCAGCAGCCGCGGUAAUACGUAGGUGGCAAGCGUUAUCCGGAAUGACUGGGCGUAAAGGGUGCGUAGGUGGUUUAGUAAGUUGGCGGUGUAAUUCCGGGGCUCAACCUGGGCGCUACCGCCAAAACUAGUAGACUAGAGUGCAGGAGGGGUGAGUAGAAUUCCUAGUGUAGCGGUGGAAUGCGUAGAGAUGAGGAGGAACAUCAGGGGCGAAGGCGACUUCCUGGACAGUAACUGACGCUGAGGUGCGAAAGCGUGGGGAGCAAACAGGAUUAGAUACCCCGGUAGUC